UACGGAGGGUGCGAGCGUUAAUCGGAAUUACUGGGCGUAAAGCGCACGCAGGCGGUUUGUUAAGCAAGAUGUGAAAGCCCCGGGCUCAACCUGGGAACUGCAUUUUGAACUGGCAGACUAGAGUCUUGGAGAGGGGGGUGGAAUUGCCAGGUGUAGCGGUGAAAUGCGUAGAGAUCUGGAGGAACAUCAGUGGCGAAGGCGGCCCCUGGCCAAAGCACUGACGCUCAUGUGCGAAAGUGUGGGUACGACAUGAUUAGAUACCGUA
RNAcentral lists this ribosomal RNA (265 nucleotides) under uncultured bacterium. RNAcentral describes it as "partial 16S ribosomal RNA". It matches the Rfam family "Bacterial small subunit ribosomal RNA", at positions 524 to 789 of the family's 1533-position model. The record is from RNAcentral.